RNAcentral lists this ribosomal RNA (430 nucleotides) under Bacteroidota bacterium. Its description in RNAcentral is "Bacteroidetes bacterium partial 16S ribosomal RNA". It matches the Rfam family "Bacterial small subunit ribosomal RNA", at positions 355 to 776 of the family's 1533-position model. Lineage: Bacteria; Pseudomonadati; Bacteroidota. The record is from RNAcentral.
UAGGGAAUCUUCGGCAAUGGGGGGAACCCUGACCGAGCAACGCCGCGUGAGUGAAGAAGGUUUUCGGAUCGUAAAGCUCUGUUGUUAAGGAAGAACGAGUGUGAGAAUGGAAAGUUCAUACUGUGACGGUACUUAACCAGAAAGGGACGGCUAACUAUGUGCCAGCAGCCGCGGUAAAACAUAGGGGGCAAGCGUUGUCCGGAAUCACUGGGCGUAAAGGGCGCGCAGGCGGUCUGUUAAGUCAGAUGUGAAAGGUUAGGGCUCAAGCCUGAACGUGCGUCAGAUACUGGCAAACUUGAGUAUGGAAGAAGUAAGUGGAAUUCCUGGUGUAGCGGUGAACUGCGUAGAUAUUAGAAGGAACACCAGUGGCGAAGGCGACUUAGUGGGCCAUGACUGACGCUGAGGCGCGAAAGCGUAGGGAGCAGACAUG